AUCAAAGGAUGACGAGCAGAAGACCCAGGC
This 30-nucleotide non-coding RNA is filed under the name Homo sapiens (human). The record is from RNAcentral. Lineage: Eukaryota; Metazoa; Chordata; Mammalia; Primates; Hominidae.